RNAcentral lists this transfer-messenger RNA (401 nucleotides) under Alphaproteobacteria bacterium. It matches the Rfam family "Alphaproteobacteria transfer-messenger RNA". Rfam says of the family: Bacterial tmRNA, also known as 10Sa RNA or SsrA, is named for its dual tRNA and mRNA-like properties. Its role is to liberate the mRNA from a stalled ribosome. RNAcentral also lists the same sequence under 1 other name. Lineage: Bacteria; Pseudomonadati; Pseudomonadota; Alphaproteobacteria. The record is from RNAcentral.
AACCUUGAUAUUCUGAAUCAUCCCCCGUAUAAUAGAACCGUCGGGGUAACCCGUCUAAGAUGCUAAACGCCCUGUGAAAUAGGCGUCGUGGACCCGGGGGCAGUGCCCGGCGGCUCCACCAUAUAGAACCGGAACAAUCAAAUAUGGUUUUAUGUGAUGGGGCCGAAACAGGCUCGACACGCGUAAUAAAGACAAGGUCUGUAUCCGUUUGAGGUACGGUCGAAUCCGUCCAAAUUUAAUAGUUGCAAAUGAUAAUGCACAAACCGUAGCAGCCAAUGACAACUCUUUUGUUGUUGCUGGUGAUAAAAUCGCUGCUUAAUUGCACCGAUGAAGCUACAUAAUCCCUGAAGCUUCGGCAGAGGGUGGGGCGCGGGGCGGCCUAGCAACAGAACUGCCCCAUU